This is a non-coding RNA of Homo sapiens (human), 148 nucleotides long. It matches the Rfam family "Metazoan signal recognition particle RNA". Rfam says of the family: The signal recognition particle (SRP) is a universally conserved ribonucleoprotein. It is involved in the co-translational targeting of proteins to membranes. The record is from Rfam. NCBI's taxonomy places the organism in Eukaryota, Metazoa, Chordata, Mammalia, Primates, Hominidae.
GCUGGGUGUGGUGGCGCACAUCUGUAAUCCCAGCUACUCUGGGGGCUGAGGCAGGAGAAUUGCUUGAACCCUGGAGGCAGAGGUUGCAGUGAGCCGAGAUCAUAGCACUGCACUCUAGCCUGGGUGACAGAGUGAGAUUCUGUCUCAA